CUCCGAUCGGAACUAUUUUUCGCGGAGUUGGCGUCUAGUCGGACCUAAAUUCCGCAGGAAAUGGGAGCGCCGUGGUUUGGGGGAGGAGUCCGGGGCUGCUACGAAGUUCCGCGAGACCUUUGAACAGUUUUGGCGUCCGAGGUGAAGAGCGAAAGCAUAACUUCAAGAUACUGCAGUUUUGGUUCCAGACCACCGGGAUAAAAGAUACAUCUCUGGUGUCUUCAUCCCUUUUAGAACUGCAGAAGGUGCUCCAGGGGGCUAGUACAAAGCACAGAGUCUGGAAGUCUGGAGAAUCCGGUCCUAGUCACAGAUCUUUUACUAUUAAUGUAAGUGACUUUCUUCUAAAUAUGUACCCGGUGGACUUCCCUGGUAGUGCAGUGGUGAAGAAUCCACCUGCCAAUGCAGGGGACACAGGUUCGACCCCUGGUCCGGGAAGAUCCCAUAUGCCACGGAGCAACUAAGCCCAUGCGUCACAGCUACUGAGCCCACGUGCCACAACUACUGAAGCCUGCGUGCCUAGAGCCCAUGCUCCACAACAAGAGAAGCCACUGCAAUGAGAUGCCUACGCACCGCAACGAAGAGUAGCCCCCGCUCGCCGCAGCUAGAGAAAGCCCGCGCACAGCAAUGAAGACCCAGUGCGGCCAAAAAUAAAUAAAUUAAA
This is a long non-coding RNA of Balaenoptera acutorostrata (minke whale), 661 nucleotides long. RefSeq lists it as uncharacterized. The record is from RefSeq and is a predicted model, not a curated record. Lineage: Eukaryota; Metazoa; Chordata; Mammalia; Artiodactyla; Balaenopteridae. The transcript is spliced from 3 exons.